This 2027-nucleotide long non-coding RNA is filed under the name Theobroma cacao (cacao). RNAcentral's name for it is "long non-coding RNA (TCAC_LNC002948)". Lineage: Eukaryota; Viridiplantae; Streptophyta; Magnoliopsida; Malvales; Malvaceae. The record is from RNAcentral.
UAAAACACGUACACAAUUCUUGAUAAACGUCACGACCCAAAUUUUGGGCCAUGACCGGCGCAUGGGCCCAAUGGACGUAGUCCACUAAGCCCAAGCAAGCCUACUUAUAUUACUUGGUUAUCAUUUCAUCCCAUAAGUUAACAAAGUCAUAAUUCAAAAUCUCAAUUCGAAAUGAUGAAAACCAUUGCCAACUCGUACUGGCAUUACUCAUUAAAAUAUACACAUAUUGUCUAUAGUAUGUAUUCUAAUAAUUAACAUCAAAUUUGUCUAUACAUGUCAAAAGGAGACUCGAUGUCCAGCGGAGAAACUCAACAAAUGUACAGCUACUGAAUGUCGAAACACCUAUCAAGAGUCGAGUCAAUAAAGGCACCUCGACCUAGUUUCCGACUACCUCCUGAUCUGAAAACAUGAAGUUGAAAACGGUGAGUAUAAACCCAGUGAGUGAACAAGGAAGGGAACAAGCAACAGUAAGGAAGGAUUUUAAAAAUCAUGAUGCACUUAUUUUAAAACAAUGCAAUUUAACUUAGUGCUUAUCAUAACCCCUCAGGAAAACCCCAAUUGAUUAAAUCACUUAAUGAAAAGGGUCCAUGCUCAACUAUGGUACUAAAGAAGUGGAAAAUAACACAACAAUCGAUCAAGAUAUUAAGCAAAACAGAAAGUUUUUCGCUGCAGUGAGAUUUAAGCCAUAAAACACAAACUUUCUCGCUGCAAUGAGAACCAUGUCUACUUAAACCCUCAAAACCCGAGAGUUUCUCGCUUCAGCGAGAAUGAAUCUCACUGCAGCGAUAAACAGGGCACCAGCAAAAAUUCUCCAUUUCUUCAAGAAAAGGCCAUCUUGCUGAAAUGAUAAAAACAACAUAAAACACAUAUAAUUUCUCAAAAUUUAACAUGUCAAGUUUCACAUGUAUUUCAAUCAUAUGCCAUAUUCAUAAGCUUUUAUUUCAUAAACAUAGAUAUACAUGAAUACAUAGAUAACCACCAAUAUCACCAUCAUCACACCCAGCUCAUCUGCAUCCCCCCACAUCAUGCACAUAGCCGGAGUCAUCGAGUGUAUCCCCUCACAUCAUGCACAGUCAGUGCCAUCGUGUACAUCCCCCCACAUCGUGCACACGGGCACUAUCAUUAUCCACCUCCUUCACCACGCCAUCACCGGCAUGUGCAUCCCCCCACAUCGUGCACACACACGGUUAUAAUCAUCACACAACAUCAACCAUCAUGCACAACAUAUAUAUCUAUAUAUAUAUAUAUAUAUAUAUACACCAACAUAAUGUAGUAGUGCACGAAUCCAUAACAACCACAUGUCACAACUAAAGUCAAUUAUCAAAGGCUUGUUCCCAAGGCACUCGUUUUUAAGAAAAGUUGUAUAAAAUCAUUCAAAUGCUUUGUACAAAACAAUCACAUUCCCAAAACGAUUUUGAAAUGCAAUUCACUUAACGGUAUUAUUUGAGCCUUUAGCCGAUCCCAACUUCCCUAAUUGUCUAAAUGGGAUGAUGGGGCUUCGUUGGAACCUAUCAUCACAUUAGCAUCACCAAUUUGUCAAUUCACAUACUUAUAAAGUCUAAAGCUUUCUCUUAGCUAGCUUCGAAUUACCAUUUAAAUGGCUAUCUAUUUUCACUACCCUAAUCACUCUAAAAUGAGUGGAUGACCUCAACUACAAAUAUUCACAAUUCCCUAAAAUAUCUACAAGCACAUGCUAUCCAUAAUUUUUGUAAUUAAAAUAAAUCAUACUUAUAGGUUUAUAUUUAUGAAAAUUUUAAAAUUGACACCCCCUACUGACCUUGGUAGCUUGAAACUUUGAAAUUCUUUUCAAUAAAUUUUCCAAGCUAUUAUGGGAGCUUUCUCUCUCUUUCUCUCUCUAAACACUUAGCUAGUGAGAGAAAGUAUGAAAGUGGGAUUUUUCAAGGGUUUUAAAGUGAGAGAGUGAAAGAGCACAAGGAUUUCAUAAAAAAGUGCACCGAGGCAUGAAUAUUGGAGCUAAAGAGAGAAAGUUAUGGAAGCUUGAAAAGGACUCCCAUGGAGGAUGAAUA